UGGGGAAUAUUGCACAAUGGGGGAAACCCUGAUGCAGCGACGCCGCGUGAGGGAAGACGGUCUUCGGAUUGUAAACCUCUGUCUUUGGGGACGAAAAAGGGACGGUACCCAAGGAGGAAGCUCCGGCUAACUACGUGCCAGCAGCCGCGGUAAUACGUAGGGAGCGAGCGUUGUCCGGAAUUACUGGGUGUAAAGGGAGCGUAGGCGGGAAGGCAAGUUGGAUGUGAAAACUGUGGGCUCAACCGACAGACUGCAUUCAAAACUGUUUUUCUUGAGUGAAGUAGAGGCAAGCGGAAUUCCUAGUGUAGCGGUGAAAUGCGUAGAUAUUAGGAGGAACACCAGUGGCGAAGGCGGCUUGCUGGGCUUUUACUGACGCUGAGGCUCGAAAGUGUGGGGAGCAAACAGGAUUAGAUACC
Molecule: ribosomal RNA, 416 nt
Filed under: uncultured bacterium
Lineage: Bacteria
Description: bacterial SSU rRNA
Rfam family: Bacterial small subunit ribosomal RNA
Source: RNAcentral